Odocoileus virginianus texanus is the source of this 1462-nucleotide non-coding RNA. The record is from RefSeq and is a predicted model, not a curated record. Lineage: Eukaryota; Metazoa; Chordata; Mammalia; Artiodactyla; Cervidae.
CCCGCAGAGCCCGCGUGCAGCCCGCCGGUGGGAAAUCAACCCAUCAAUACAUCAUAUUAACUCUGACUCGACUAAUACCAUCCCUCCGGUGUGGCACAAAUUGAAUUGCUGAUGGGCUGGGGAGAGAGGGGAGGAUGGAGGAGGGAGCCUUUGAUUUCUCUCCCAGCAGCACUUAGCAGUGCGGGAGCUUCGAGGCAGGCCAACAAAAGGGGCUCUGGAGAGGUGUCUGGGGAGGAGGGAGAUGUGGCGGUCACACGCAGUGGACAUGGAGGCCCUCGCAGCUCAGGCCGAGAGGAGAGAGGCAAGGCCGGACACCACGUUGGCCUGUACCAUCUGUAGCUGCCAGGAGCCUGGACUGUCUUCUUGGCCUGGCCCUGCCCAGCAGAGGACCACCAACUACACCCUGGACUUCGUUCUGGCCACCUGGGACACACACCCUGCCUCCCAGAAGUGAUGAAGACAGAAAGAGCGAACAUUUGGCCAAGGAGGCCCCUUAGGCACUGGCACCUUGAGACCAGGCACAGCCAUGGAGGCGUGUCUGUUGGAUGCCCAGAGCCACCUGCAAUGUGGCUCCUCACAGCUGGUCCUUCUCCACCAGGCCCAGCGGACAGAAGCCCUUUGCUGUUUCACUGGAACUCCUUGUGGCAACUCACGGCCGGAGGUUCCAUGGAACACACAAGACCAAUACCUUUCUAGAAGGAGAGGCUCAGAGCUGCAGGACAGGCCUCCAGGCCCCAGGUCCUCAGAGGCCCUGAGGCUGGCCUGCCUGGAUGCUGAGGCUGUUGAGAUAGAGGGUGGAGGCCAGCUCAAUCUCUGUGGGUGCAUAGGGGUGAGCCCUGGAGCUUGCUGUGAGUAUGAGGGGCCCAGGAGCAGCCCCCUGGCAAGCCUGAGGCUGGGGUGGUGAGCCGUGCCAGUGUGGGUGGGGCUGAGGAACCCAGCUAAGAGGUAGGGAUGGACGAGGAGCUGUGAGAGAAUGGGAACCACACAGGCAUCAAACACUCUGGGAUCCCCCAGGGUCAAGGCCCCCAGCCCAAAGGGUGCACUCUGCACCCUGAUCCUGGUGGCCCCCUCGACAUAUCCACCAUCCUGCCCCUAAUGAUGCAGGAGGAUGGUCUCUGGAUCAGGAGGUCUGAGGUCAAGCCGAGGUCUGAGGUCAAGCCGUGGCACCCAUCCUCAAGAGGUGCUCCCCGCAGAACGUUCCCCUACCAGCCCUGUUUGGAGGUUCCCUUCAAGCAAGUGUGUUGCAAAAGCUCUGAGAAGUCCCUUGGGCAUCUCCCCACCGAGGGGCUCACAUCCCCAGGCCCGUGGGAGGAUACAGGGGAGAUGCCCACUGCCCCCCAGUCCUAUCCCUCUGCAGCCCCCUAAUGCCGAGGGCACGGCUGAGUCUGGGGAGCCUGGCCGUCUCGCCUGGUUUGUGAGUGGAGACACAUCUGGAGCAGAUGUUUCCGAGAUGAAAUGCAGC